RNAcentral lists this transfer RNA (57 nucleotides) under Bos taurus (domestic cattle). It matches the Rfam family "tRNA", at positions 8 to 63 of the family's 71-position model. From Rfam's summary of the family: Transfer RNA (tRNA) molecules are approximately 80 nucleotides in length. Their secondary structure includes four short double-helical elements and three loops (D, anti-codon, and T loops). Lineage: Eukaryota; Metazoa; Chordata; Mammalia; Artiodactyla; Bovidae. The record is from Rfam by way of RNAcentral.
UGGCUUAGAUGGUAAAGAAUCUGCCUGCCAUGCAGGAGACCCAGGUUCAAUCCCUGG